This 396-nucleotide ribosomal RNA is filed under the name uncultured bacterium. RNAcentral's name for it is "partial 16S ribosomal RNA". It matches the Rfam family "Bacterial small subunit ribosomal RNA", at positions 523 to 918 of the family's 1533-position model. The record is from RNAcentral.
AUACGGAGGGUGCAAGCGUUAAUCGGAAUUACUGGGCGUAAAGCGCACGCAGGCGGUCAAUUAAGUCAGAUGUGAAAGCCCCGAGCUUAACUUGGGAAUUGCAUCUGAAACUGGUUGGCUAGAGUCUUGUAGAGGGGGGUAGAAUUCCACGUGUAGCGGUGACAUGCGUAGAGAUGUGGAGGAAUACCGGUGGCGAAGGCGGCCCCCUGGACAAAGACUGACGCUCAGGUGCGAAAGCGUGGGGAGCAAACAGGAUUAGAUACCCUGGUAGUCCACGCUGUAAACGAUGUCGAUUUAGAGGUUGUGGUCUUGAACUGUGGCUUCUGGAGCUAACGCGUUAAAUCGACCGCCUGGGGAGUACGGCCGCAAGGUUAAAACUCAAAUGAAUUGGCGGGG